This is a long non-coding RNA of Thrips palmi, 392 nucleotides long. RefSeq lists it as uncharacterized. The record is from RefSeq and is a predicted model, not a curated record. Lineage: Eukaryota; Metazoa; Arthropoda; Insecta; Thysanoptera; Thripidae. The transcript is spliced from 2 exons.
AAGGCCGUCCUCAAGGCCGUCCCCAAGGCCAUCACCGUCCACGCACCGGGCCGGCGCAAGGCCACCAAGGCCACCAGGGCCCCGGCGGCCACCACUGGCGGCAGAGCGCGCCAACGAGGAGGCCCGGGCACAGGUCUGCGACCGCGGCCACGCGCGACUGAAGUCUCUGAAGCCUCUGGCGGGGAGCCCCCUCCAGACAAAGCCGUCCAGCAGCAAAUGGGUGACGAGGGGCUUUCUCCGCGAGGGGCGUGGCGGGCGCGGCGCGGGGCCUUGUCAACGAAAACAACUUGCCGGGGGGAUGACCCGACGCUUUCGCCCCCCGCCUGAUGAGGGCGGUGGAAUUAUUCAUCGUGUCGGAAAUAAAAGCGGGCUGCGCGCAGGACGAGGGCAAA